RNAcentral lists this ribosomal RNA (652 nucleotides) under Parahaemophilus parainfluenzae. RNAcentral's name for it is "Haemophilus parainfluenzae bacterial LSU rRNA". It matches the Rfam family "Bacterial large subunit ribosomal RNA", at positions 1088 to 1740 of the family's 2925-position model. Lineage: Bacteria; Pseudomonadati; Pseudomonadota; Gammaproteobacteria; Pasteurellales; Pasteurellaceae. The record is from RNAcentral.
GACAGCUAGGAUGUUGGCUUAGAAGCAGCCAUCAUUUAAAGAAAGCGUAAUAGCUCACUAGUCGAGUCGGCCUGCGCGGAAGAUGUAACGGGGCUCAAAUAUAGCACCGAAGCUGCGGCAUCAGACGAAAGUCUGUUGGGUAGGGGAGCGUUCUGUAAGCGGAUGAAGGUGGCUCGAGAGGGCUGUUGGACGUAUCAGAAGUGCGAAUGCUGACAUAAGUAACGAUAAAACGGGUGAAAAACCCGUUCGCCGGAAGACCAAGGGUUCCUGUCCAACGUUAAUCGGGGCAGGGUGAGUCGGCCCCUAAGGCGAGGCUGAAAAGCGUAGUCGAUGGGAAACGGGUUAAUAUUCCCGUACUUGGAUAAACUGCGAUGUGGGGACGGAGUAGGUUAGGUUAUCGCACUGUUGGAUAUGUGCGUUUAAGUUUGUAGGUGUGAAGUUUAGGCAAAUCCGGACUUCUAUAACACUGAGAGAUGAUGACGAGGCUCUACGGAGCUGAAGUAACCGAUACCACACUUCCAGGAAAAGCCACUAAGCUUCAGGUUUAUCUAAACCGUACUGAAAACCGACACAGGUGGUCAGGUAGAGAAUACUCAGGCGCUUGAGAGAACUCGGGUGAAGGAACUAGGCAAAAUAGCACCGUAACUUCGGG